UACACAUCCUCUAUUCAUUUUAAUGUGGUGACGUUGGAGAAAUAGCUUGAGCUGCUCUGAGAAUUUGAAAAAGUACGAAAGCCAACAGUCCAAUAUACUCGAACACUGCUGUGCAUACACAUACACGUUUUGGACUAUGAUAGACGCUUUAAGAGAGACAGUAGUGGUGCAGCUUCACUAUAAUCUAGACUAUAUUCUGUAUUCUGUGCUGGUUGGUUUAUCCUGUCAGGUAUUUGAAUAGGUGCUCCUGGAUGCAGACUGGAGUGUAAACUCAGGCACUGGGUGUGGCUCUCCUGCAGUGUCUUUCUUCCAGCAGUUCUUCCACUGCUACUGUCCUGUAGGCUUCGGACGAAGGAAAGACCCGAGCGGAGACUACAUCAGGCGCUACAUCCUUACUCUAAAGGACGAGCCCAACUACUACAUCUAUGAGCCGUGGAGAGCCUCAGAGCCUGUCCAGGAAGCGGCUAACUGCAUCAUGAGUGGACUACCCUAAGCCCAUGAUCAACCACGCAGAGGGCAGAAGGCUCAACAUAGAAAAGAUGAAGAAGGUCUCCUGGCCUCUGUGCCCACCAUCCAGGAAGAGGCAGUGCCUCCCCUGACAGACGACUUUUAGAUCAGCAGCUGCACCUGUGUCACCCACACACACGUUGUCUGCCCGGUCCAACACUCUGGAAGAGAGGCAGGCCCUCCGAACCAUAGAGCACCCAGAAGUGCACCCACUCGAAACACCAGCACACCGUCACUGCCCAAGGAGACAAGCGGCAACAACAGGAACAGCAACAGGAGCAGUGGGAGGAACAGUCAGAGCAGCAGGCUGUAGAACAGCCAAUGGAUCUGCAGUGGCACACGAGCUUGCCAUGUGUGAUGGUGUAUGCCAGAGAGACAUGGCCGAAGACUUCUGAUGUCUUGUGCUCACCCCUUUCCUAGUCACACACACACAAACAUACACAGAGUUUUACAUACAAUAACCGGUUUAUAAGGUAUAAGAGCAGCAAGAACACCUUCGUAAUUGCCAAUAAUAAUUUGCAUACAGAAAGGUUACAAACAGUGUAUUAUAUAGCAAGUUAGUGCUUACACCGUUCCUUUCAGCUUUCCUAAACUGUUUUUUGUUGUCGUUUUUUUGCACCACCACACACUUUUAUUAGUGAGUGAAUAACUGCCUUAGGACUACAGUAGAACCUCAAAGAUACAAACCUUAGAUUUACGAACUGACCGGUCAAGCGAGCAGGCAAUAUUAACCUGGAUAUUUUUUUGUUAUCCCCCCCAAAAAACGCAUUAAAACAAUAAACAUUAAUGUAAAAUAUGCAAUUCAUAUUUUCUAUAAAGGUGUAUGUCAAAGUUAUUUCAGUGUUCCCAACGACCUCCAUUCUUCAUCUGAGGUUCUACUGUCAUUCAUCUGUUUGUCCUCUGUAUGAUAUUUUCACUUUGAUCACAACGAUGUCACUGGUUUAGAAACAAAUAUUUUGCCAUUGCCAGAGAAGAUAUAUCAACCAGUGAAAGAACCUAGAAUUAAUGUUUUCAUAUGAUUUAGUGCCCUUCGUGUAAGUUAUGAAACAUCAUGAACUGUCAUUGUGCUUACUGUCAAACAGACAGCUGUUCUCAACCACUAUGGGUAGUGAGAAGGGAGUCUGUGGCCACACAGAUGGAUGAAAACGUAUGAAAAAUUUAUAUGCAUUUUUCGCUGUCCAUUCAACUCGUUUCACCUUUUCACAUAUGAGUUGCUAACUUAAAAAAAAAAAAAUACGGAUCAAGCUGUGCAUAGACAUUUAUCAUUUCUGUUGUCCUCAACCUAUGACUCCCAUAGAAAAAUCCUGUGCCUCAAUACAUUUUUUGACUGAUACUAAAUCUGUCUUGCCGCAACCUAAAUUGAUUGAAAAAGAUCCCAUAAUGAUAAUAGUGUCUAUACUAAUACAAUAAUAACUACUUCCGCUAAGUACCAUGUGUAUAAAAUAUUUGUAUUAAUUCCCGCUAUAUUCUGUUUAUAUUUGCACAUCCAUCAGCCCUGUGUAUAUAUUAUACUGCAUAUAUUACCAUAAAACACGUUUUCUUUGUUUGCAUUGUUCUGUCUGUGGAUCUGCCCAGAAGGGGAUGAGGUUUGCCUAAUUUUGAGUCUACUUAAGUACUCAGGACAGCCAUUUUGCAUUCUUGCGUUGCAUACUUACAUUGACUAUAAAUAAGCCUUUAGAAUAUACUAAAAGAGGUACACUUCAUUUAUAUUUCCCAUUAACAUCUAAAGCUUGUCAUUAUUUGUCAGUCACCAAAUAUUGUACAUUCCAUGCAAAAAGAGUACAUUCAC
This is a non-coding RNA of Salvelinus sp. IW2-2015, 2296 nucleotides long. Lineage: Eukaryota; Metazoa; Chordata; Actinopteri; Salmoniformes; Salmonidae. The record is from RefSeq and is a predicted model, not a curated record.